AGAAAUAAAUUCUUGAAGUUGUAGCCCUGACUGACUACCAGAGGCCCCAAAUUUUUAGUGAAGAAAAAAUAGAUAUGCUACAACCAAUCCUUCACAGAAGGUCAUGAAAGGUCCCUUCACUCCUAUUUCUGGAAAUUUUUCCAUCCUAAGAAGAGCAAAAAAUCAAAACAUCAACACUGACGGGCAAAUACUUUUCAGUCCAAUCCAGUGAGAUUCUACAAUUUUCAUGAUGGGAAGUAAUGUCUGACCUAGACAAGACCCAGACAUGGCCUCAUGAGAAAGACCACGGAGCUUUAAAAUUAUUGCCUCGAUUGUGAAUAGAAAUGUGACAUAUAUCAAGGUGUACCACCCACUAAGGUUUGGAGGUUUCUGGAAAGAUGUCCUGGAAAGAUUCACAGUUCAUUUCCCCUGCUUCAUAGAGAAGAGCCACAGAAGAAUCCUGCUCUUAGUAAAGGGAAGGGGAUGUUUAAAUAGAAGCUCAAGCAACAGUUUCCAACUUGAUGAAAAAACAUUGCUCUCAAUGUACAAAGAAGAUGCUCCCUUGACUUCUAUGUGUUCCCAGAACAUUUGGAUGAAUCUGUC
Long non-coding RNA from Nannospalax galili (Upper Galilee mountains blind mole rat), 582 nucleotides. RefSeq lists it as uncharacterized. The record is from RefSeq and is a predicted model, not a curated record. The transcript has 5 exons. Lineage: Eukaryota; Metazoa; Chordata; Mammalia; Rodentia; Spalacidae.